This 319-nucleotide ribosomal RNA is filed under the name uncultured eukaryote. RNAcentral describes it as "partial 18S ribosomal RNA". It matches the Rfam family "Eukaryotic small subunit ribosomal RNA", at positions 1470 to 1796 of the family's 1831-position model. The record is from RNAcentral.
CCCUUAGAUGUUCUGGGCUGCACGCGUGCUACAAUGGCGUUUCCAGCAAGUCUGCGAACCCGAGAGGGCCAGCGGAUCUUCGAAUUGGCGUCGUGAUCGGGACAGUCGAUUGCAAUUAUUUGACUCAAACGAGGAAUUCCUUGUAAUCGCGAUUCAUCAUAUCGCGCUGAAUACGUCCCUGCCCUUUGUACACACCGCCCGUCGCUCCUACCGAUUGAGCGAUCCGGUAAAUGUUUUGGAUUGGUGCCGGGGCGGCUGGCUGCCGGUCGCUACGAAAUUUUGUGAACCUUAUCGCUUAGAGGAAGGAAAAGUCGUAACA